Non-coding RNA from Saimiri boliviensis boliviensis (Bolivian squirrel monkey), 844 nucleotides. The record is from RefSeq and is a predicted model, not a curated record. Lineage: Eukaryota; Metazoa; Chordata; Mammalia; Primates; Cebidae.
AUGACCCCACGGGUGCCCCGGCUCUCCGUGCUCGCUGCACUGGCCCUGGGCUCAGCCACGCUGGGCACUGCCUUUGCCACUAGCCUCUUCCUAGGGAGGCCAUGGCCUUAAUGGCGAGGCCUGCGAGAGCUGCGCCUGCUUCCCGGCGAGAACGGCCGCCUGUGGCAGUAUCUCCCAUACAGGAGCACCCGGCGCUGACCGUGGAGCAGUCGCAGGGGGAUUCUAUGAUGACCUGCGAGCAGGCCCAGCUCCUAGCCAACCAGGCGCGGCUCAUACAGGCUAAGAAGGCGCUGGAUCUGGGCACCUUCACGGGCUACUCCGCCCCGCGCUGCCCGCGGAUGGGCGCAUGGUGACCUGCGAGGUGGACACGCAGCCCGUGGAGCUGGGGCGGCCCCUGUGGAGGUAGGCUGAGGCGGAGCUCAAGAUCGACCUCCGGCUGAAGUCCGCCCUGGAGACCCUGGACGAGCUGCGGGCAGCGGACAAAGCUGGCACUUUCGACGUGGCGGUGGCAGACGCGGACAAGGAGAACUGCGCCGCCCACUACGAGCGCUGCCUGCAGCUGCUGGAGCUAGGAGACAUCCUUGCCAUCCUCGGAGUCCUGUGGAACGGAAAGGUGCCACACCUCCGCAGGGGGACUUGGCGGCCAAAUGUGUGCGGAACCUAAAGGAACGCAUCCGGCGGGACGUCAGGGUCUACAUCAGUCUCCUGCCCCUGGGCGAUGGACUCACCUUGGCUUUCAAGAUCUAGGGUUGGCCCCUAGUGAGUGGGCUCGAGGAAGGGUUGCCUGGGAACCCCAAGAAUUGACUCUUGAGUUUUAAAUUCGACAAUGAAGUGGGGCUGGGAC